GCCUCUGCUUCACUCCUCAGCUCUUGUUUAACCACUUCCCUCCAAACAGCUGCAACUGCUGAUACUGCCUUCACCAGAUCCAACAGGCCUAUCUCAUCAUCUUGUGCUCCUUUCCAUUCACACC
Molecule: non-coding RNA, 124 nt
Organism: Lonchura striata (white-rumped munia)
Lineage: Eukaryota; Metazoa; Chordata; Aves; Passeriformes; Estrildidae
Source: RefSeq, a predicted model, not a curated record